CUGUUAAAAUGACCAUGACCAUGUCCUAGAGCAUUACCGUUACCAUGACCAUGUCCAUAUCCAUGUCCUGGAUGAUGAACACGGUGAUGUCUAUGUUCUUCGGGAGCAGGAGCUGGCGGCAAGGGUGGAGCAGGAGGAGAUGGCGGCAAGGGUGGAGCAGGAGAUGGCGGCAAAGGUGGAGCAGGAGGUGGUGGUGGAGGUGGCAAUGGGAAGUAUGGUAACCUUGCACAUGCAAAGUUUGCUAGAGCAAACUGGGAGGCACAAAAUGAGUGGUGAAAUGGCUGAGCCCCCAUCAUGGGCAGAAAUACUAAGAAGACAGCAAAAAUCAUUAACAUAUGAGUCUUGACCAUCUCCAUUUGCAUGGUUAAAGGAAUGGCUCAUGGAAUCUCACAACAGUUCUUCCUUUUAUACGUGCCUACUCACGAAUUUCUUGUUUCCACUAGUUAGACUUCCCUCCGGGGCAAUUGAAAAGGAAAGAAAGGAAUAACCAAGAGGGUGAGGCCGCUUUGUUAGUUGGCAUAAUGGAUGAGUAGCCUCCGAAGUUUACUGCCUCUUUCAUUUUGUGUGAUAAGGAGUUAGGUACCAUACCAAUUCUAAUGGAAAGUACAAUCCAUAUUCCUACAACAAUAACUCACGACUAAUUGGGAUUGAAAUGAAAUGAAAUGAGGCAACACCAAUAUUUCAGAAUUUCGUCCAUCAUAAUGAUGACAAAAAAGGUUCUUACAGUGACCUAUUGAUCUUCCAUUAACGGCUAAGACCAAUGAAAAAUGCCCUAUCUCCAUCAAAAAAGAAAACAAGGUGACCAUAAUUCUAAUGUGAAAGCCAUAUAUUUCUUCCAUCAGUUAGUAGAAAGGCAUAAAUCAGUGAGUAAAUUAACAUUAAUAACAACUAAUACAUGAAUAAGAACCGGCACCUUCUUUAUGCAUGCUAGCUCAUGUAGCUCACAGAUAUCAUGCACCUAAGUGUUUUACAUAUCUUUUGACCAAGUGCUUCAACCGAAACUCAGAGCAAAUGUUACAACGGGACUGGUGCAGCAUCAGCCACAAGAAAAUUAAUAAGUUGGUCGUAGCAUAUCUUCAGAUUAAGUGACGGAUAUAUAACUCACUUCGUCAGUCUUUAGAGUAUGAAAAACCUUGCUUCUCAAGGGAAAAAGAUGACAGAACUAGAAGGAUAUAGCCACAAAUCACACUUACAGGCUACAUGUUCAUACCAUCACCAACAAAAUUCCAUGACAAAUAUUCAAGGAAAAAGUUCAUAGGAUAAAUAAAAUUAAUAAAUAACAACAUCUGAGAAGAUCAACAGUCCAAGAGAAACUGAGCAGGGCACGGGGCAACAUGUUAAUGAAUUAAGACAAUGAGAUAAGUCCAAGUAAGUUUACAAAUUCUUAAGCUACUAAGGCAGUAUGAGAGUAUCAGCAAUGUUAGAGAUGAAUUUAUUUGCAUCUAUACUGCAGCUUCUCAAUCUUCCAAGAGCUCUCCUUCCCAGAUAAUACAUCAGAAUUGAUUUUAGAAUUUGAACCAGGAUGGUACAAGGCAAUCAUAUAGUGCACAACUGAUAUAAAAUAAAGGACUCAAAAAGUUUCAUUCUGACAAACAAGACCAGAUUCCUGCAACAUACUAAAACUCCUAGAUUUUUCUUUACCAUCACAGUGAUGCUGAAAUAGUGCUGUGCAGGAUCUAAUAUUCAUCAAUUUUGAUUAGGGAUAGAAACCAAAAACUCACAGCUAUUCUGUAAAAGCAAUACUUAAAUGUACGAAAGCAAAAGGCUUAUAAGGUCCAAGGCCUAAAGAUUGUGGAUACAAUUUUAAAUAUCUAUAUCAAACAAAGAAAAUAAUGAAUUUGUGUCAAUUUAUAAUCAUUUCUUGAUUAAUCAACAGUUGUACUCACCCCCAACAUCCAAGUAUUUGCAUGAAAAUUAAAUUCAGGGAUGAUUUACAAAAAUGGAAAACUAAAUUCUAAUGCACUAGAGGCAAAGAUUGAUAAUAGAAUCACUGGCCAUCAUAGCUAGAACCAAUCAUCCAACUUACAUGUUUAAACAUCAUGGACUAUAUGUGGCUCCAUAAACCAUUAAUGUAAGACAAGUUAGAAUGCCCUCUUUCAUUAAGUCCUAAUUUAUUUUUUUUCAGAGUCACACUAACUUGGAAAUUUACAGCUGUUCCUUGAACAUUGGAUUCCUUGCUGUUCGAUUGGCCACCCUGGUCCCAAUCCUUCAUUGCCAUCAAUUUCAGUUGUUCCUUUAACUUCAAUCUGAAUCCUCACUUGUUUCCAGCAUUUCCGAUUGUUCCUUUAACUCUCUCCAAUCUGAUUCCUCACUAAUCUCUUGUUCAUCCAGGUCCAGUUUCCCAAAUGCCAUCAUUUCCAUGUCCUUUGUUACCACUUCCUUUUGCGACCUCAGCUGCUCUGCUCUCUCUAGCCAACCCUCUUCCAACAACUCAACAAACUUAUCCUUAAUUUCAUGCAACGGAUCCCUAUCAAUCAACUCGCCAUCCCUAUAAGCUUCUCUUAGCAUUGCAGUCUUAAUACCCCCUUUUAAUGACAUGUAAAAUANNNGGACUGGAUCCUCUUAAGAGCGAAAGCGAUAACAACUCAUGGAAAACCCCAACUGUCCUCUUCUCCAUUUCUGGUGAAGCUUGAUCCAAAUGUGACACAUCCACAUAUGGUGAGAUAUAAUCUAGCUCUAACCAAUCCCUAACCCACUCCCUCAUUUCCUUCUUUAAGAAAAACCCAGGAGGAAGCUUAUAACUAAAAUUUGGCCUAACUCGAAUUCCCAUUAGCCUUGACUCCUCUUCAGCUCUUAGCUCAAUAACUGAUUUAGCAAACUCAGGGUUCCAAUCAACCAACUCCAAGAACGAUUUUCCCUCACCAGGACAUCCAAUUAACCUAAAAUAAUUUGGGUACUUAGGCACCAAGUUAACCAUAAAAUCAUUAGGGAAACCAAACUCUCUCUUAACAUGAACCAGCUUAUCAGCACUAAGCACUUUAUUCUUUGCCAUCAUAAGCAACUUACACAAUUUAGACACAAUUAACCCCUCAUUUUUAAACUGAAUCCUUUUCUCUUCUUCAAGAAAUUCCUUUACUCUGUCACUGACACGCAAAAACAUGACAGGAUCUGUUUUGGGUUUAAUUCUAUCAUAGUAAGUACCGAAAAGCCCAGGGUUCUGAUUAACAAAGGUCUUAACUUUGACAUGAAGGCGCAACCUUUCCCGCCUUUUUUCAAUGUAUCGGAGAGGAAUAACUUGACCUGGUUCAUUUAGUACCUCUUUAACGACGCGUGAACAAAGUUUGUAACGCUUAUCUUUCUCUAUAGCAAAGUCUAAUUUUGGGUCUUUUCGCCAUUCAACUUUCAGAUUCGAAAAGGGUUGGAUUUGGGUGGUGAAUUUUGGGUUUACGAGAGAAUAAUAUAUGGGUUUUUUAAGGUUAUUAUGUAAAUGUGAAGAAAUUAUGUGGGUUUUGAAAAGCAUACCUGGGAUUUAGCCAGUAAUUGAGCCAGAGACAGAACCAGAGUUGGGCAAAUUUGCCCCUAAACUUGGAUGUAACAGGCAAUUUAAAAUAUUUUUAAGAGCCUAAGAAAAUAUAAAUACAGAAAACCGUUAUUCCUAUUUCUUUUUCCAUCUCAACAUACUAAUUCCCAAAAUAAAAACCCUAAUUGAAUUAGUGGCACUUCUCUUUUCUUCCCCGAAUCAUAAAUACAGUAAAUCUUCUUCAGCAAUGUCGUUCUCAAAUUUAUUUUCUACACGUGUUGCAAUCUAUUAUUCCAUCAAACUGUUCUGCACUAAAAAGCAAACAACCGCAUCAAGAAUACAAUCAUAAUUAACGACACUGAGCGUACCAAUCGUCUCUCUCUCCCCCACUUUCUUCGAACCUUCUCCUUCUACGCUAAUCUUUAAGCAGGGCGAUUCCUCGGCCGUAUCAACACCGAUAAUGGCUAAUGGCUAAAAGCCCGUGGCAAUCAUCGAUACUUGCUUCCGUACUGGAAACUGAUACGAUGUUGCAGUAUUGGUGUAGCCACUGGAAUAAACGUGCCUCAAUUGAAAUCCUAGCUAAUGAAUCUUCUGUUAUUUACCUUGAUUGCAGGAACGGUUUCGUCGAAUUAAUCACCUCUACAGCAACUCCACCUUGUGCUACUCCUUCGUUAACCAGAGACCAGACUGAUUACUCUACUUCGGAUCUCAAAUCCUUCAAAUCACGAUUGCAACACGUGAAUUUUACCACCAUUACAAGCUUAAAAGCUUCAGAUAUGAUCUCUUACUUUUGGGGAUUUUUAACGGGUACAUGAGGGAGAGAGCUGAGAAUAAUGGGUGUUUUUAGGGUUUGUUGGACACGUGCCUAAAGAUUCCCGCCAGUUGAAAUAUUUUAUUCCUCUCUUACUUUAUCACGAUUACUUUUUAACAUUCAUUCGUAUUUUUUAUAAUUAAUUAGAAAAAAAUCAAAUAAAUUAGAUUAAUUUAUUUUUUAUAAUAUAAUUUAAAAAGAUUAUUAUUAGAUAUAUAAAAAUAUUAGGUAAUUAGAUUGUUUUAAUUUUAAAAAAUAGUUAUAAUGAAAUAAAAAAUAGUAAUAAAAAUAAAAAUUAAGAAAAAAAAUAUCAAGAGUCUUACUCUUUUUAUUUCAACUUUCAAUAUCUUUUUCUUUUAUUUCUUAUUUUUCAUUGAGAAAAAGAUAUAAAAACUACUUGAAAAUAAAUUAUAUAUUAAUUUGAAUAAAUAUAAUAAAAAUAUAUAAAAGAAAUUAUAUAUUACUACUAUAAAAUUUUAUUUUAAAUAAAAAUACUAAAAUAAUGUUUUCUUUAUAUUCGUAUGUAGAUACAUUUAAGAUUAUUUUUAUUUUUUAAUUGUAAAGAAUUAUAUUAAUUAAACCUUCUGCUUUUUGAAAAAAAAAUUUAAAAAUGCUCUAAGUAUAUGUGUUAUUAAAAAAGAAUAUCAAUCAUUUUUUAUAAAUAUAAUAUUUAAAAAUUUCAAAAGAAUUGAGAUUACUUUCAAUGUUAAACAAAUUCUAAAUAAAUAUAUUGAAUCACUGAGCUUAGAAUUUGACGUAUUCUUACGGUAAUAUAUGCAUUUGAUCUAAUUUGACAAUUUUAUGAAUUAAUCUUGUCAUAAUUAUAAAAUAUAAAUUAAAAUUUUAUCUACAUUUAAAUUUAAAGAAUGGAUUAAUACUUUAGAGUUAUAAAACAUUAAUAGAAAAUUGAAUUAAAAUAUUAGAAAACAAAACUUUUUUAUAUAAUUAAAUUUUAUAUCUUUAUUUAUAUAUUAAUCUAUAAAUAAUUAAUGUAUAUGGAUAGAUCUUAAAUAAUUAAAUAUAUUUAAUUAUUUAUAUUAAGAUAUUAAAAUAAAAAAAUUUAUAUAUUUAUUUAUUCAUUUUUAUUAGAAUUUAAAGAUGUAUGUAAGAAUUAGUUUUGAGAAAUUUAUAUAUAUAUUUUCAAAUUUUUUUAUGUAUAUUUAAUUUUUAAUGCAUAAAAGUUUUAUUUUGACACAUAUAUUUAUUUUUGAUAACAUAAUAUUGAAUUUUAUAUAUAAUUUUAUAUUUUUUUAUUAAUUAUUAAUUAACAAACUAUAUUUCUAGUUAAAUAAUUUUUAAUUUAAAAAUAUUUUAAUUAUUAUGUAACUAAUAAAUAAUUUUGAAUAGAAUAAUAAUACUAAUAUUAUCAUGAAAAUAAUAUGUUAAUUAUAUUUUUAUAUUUUAUUAAUCAAUAAAUUAAUAAUUAAAUAAUAAUUUUUAUUUUACAAAUUAAUUGAUUCUAUUAGACUAGCAAUUAUAUUUUUAAUUAGAAUACUAUGUUCAGUAAAAAUUAAUUUUUGAUUAUAUAAUAAAAUUUUAAUAUUUAAAAAUUAAUUUAAUAAACUGAUUAAUAAAAAAAUAAUUUUUAUAUUAUAACACUAAUAAAAUUUUUAAAAUAUUAUAAAAUAAAAAUAUAUAAAAAUAGCUAAUUUAUUAUUAUUUUGAAACAAUUUAAAUUAUUUUUUUAUUAUUUUUAUAAAAUUCAUAAAUAAAUUUUAUAAAAUUAUUUUAUAAUGAAAAUAAUAAGGGGAGAUUGUGAACAGUAAAAUGAAAGAAGACGACGGCAGGACUGCUCGUAAAACACAUGCGGUUGACCGAUGUGGUGUCCGUUGUCCAUAUAUCCUCGUAGUAUAACGUAUUGUCGUUUUCAAACUCAAAACAAAAAAGCAAACCACUCCCCACCCUACCUGGCCCUCUCUACUACCCUCCUUUUCCUCCCCUCCUUUUCAACGGCAAACGAAAAAGACUGACGGGGAACGGCGAUGCUGCUGCUGAACGCCCUAACCCUAGCAAGAACCAUGUUCUCCAUCAAUCACAUCGUUUUCGAAGCCGAUGACAUUAAAUUCGCCACUCUUUGGUGGUUCAUUUACGCUGGCAUCUCUUGCUUGCUUGUUCUCUUUGCUGGUAUCAUGUCCGGUCUUACUUUAGGCUUAAUGUCUCUUGGACUUGUUGAGCUUGAAAUUUUACAAAGAAGUGGCUCCUUUACUGAGAAAAAACAAGCUGGUCCGUACAAUCGAUCCGAGUCGAUUAUCCUUCGUUGUCUUUCUGUAAACUCUAAAGUUUAAUUUUUUUUUUAAAUUCCUAUUAUUGUUUUCGCAUUGCAGCUACUAUUUUACCAGUGGUUCAAAAGCAACAUCAGCUUCUUGUAACUUUGCUUUUAUGUAAUGCUUGUGCAAUGGAGGUAAUCAGUUCAAGUUACGUUUUAUUCACGACAUGGUUCUUCAAUGUGCAAUUAAAAGGGAGCUCUCACAUUGUUCUUCAUUUGUCACGUGUUCUUGCAGGCACUGCCUAUAUACCUUGAUAAAAUUUUCCAUCCCUUUGUUGCUGUUGUUUUGUCUGUUACUUUUGUUCUUGCUUUUGGGGAGGUACGAGUACCAUGUGCUAAAAAUUUGUUAUGAUUUUGUACUUAUUUUAACCUUAAGUACGAUUAAUUUAUCCCCCAUCUAUGUUGGAUCAGAUCAUUCCGCAAGCUAUAUGUUCAAGAUAUGGACUCUAUGUUGGUGCCAAUUUGGUAUGGUUAGUGCGAAUUUUGAUGUUCAUCUGCUAUCCCAUUGCCUAUCCAAUUGGGAAGGUAAUCACUUUCACUAGAUUAUUCAAUGUGACUGGUAUUUAGAACCAAUUGUAGGGAAAUGACGUAGUGUUAGUUGCACUUUUCUAGUGGCUGACUUGAGAUAUUUACAAUUUUUAUGCAACGGGGCUGGAGGUAACUCAGUUACCAAGUUUGUUCAUCAUAUUAUAAAUUGAAUGGCAUUUCAGGUUUUGGAUGCUGCAUUGGGGCACGAUGAUGCUCUGUUUAGACGAGCUCAGCUUAAAGCACUUGUCUCUAUCCAUGGCCAGGAGGUAAUACCUACUUGUGCUCUAAUUCAGUAAAAGUACAACCACUUAAACGGACUUGGACCUUCUCAGUUUUAUCAUCUGUUACUACUGUUCCAUCCAUUUUAGGCUGGCAAGGGUGGUGAACUCACACAUGACGAAACAACAAUUAUCAGCGGAGCACUAGAUCUAACCGAAAAGGUAGCUAGCUAUUGAUGGGGAAUUUCCAAGGCUUUGGAUGUUGUGUCUCGUGGCAAUCAUACAAAUUUAUCAUCUCAUAGUUGUUUUGUUUUCUAGAUAAAGACUACUAUGUCCACACUAUAUAUAGGAAGAUAUGGUGGCCUCUGAUUGAUUGACUGAGCCUAAGAAGGGAGCUUUUACUUAGUUGUGUCAUGUAAAUAAUAGUCUACCUCUAUUUCAUAACAUACAGAAACAACAUAAUCAAAUGGAAAACUCUACUCAUUCAAGUAAUGUCAAUAUCACUAUGACAAUGUGUGAGUUUUAUAUAUUUGCUUUAUUUUAUAAUGGUUCAUGCUGGUAUUUCUUUAUGUUUGGCCAGUCUUCUUAUGCUUGAAAAUCUUGACAUAUGGGUAUUAAGCUUGUGCUCAAUAUUUUCAUUUGGAAAAUAUGUAAGAUCCACAUAAAUUGAUUUUCUGAGGUUUGUUUUUGCAGACUGCCGAAGAGGCUAUGACACCUAUAGAAUCGACCUUUUCUUUAGAUGUCAAUUCAAAAUUGGACUGGUGAGUUUGUGUUGGGUGGUUUUGUUAUCAGAUUGAUUGCACAUCUUUGCUACGUUAUAAGAUUGGCAUUAUGGUGCUAGAAGUUAUAGUUUUAGUUUGGAUUCUGCAGCUAAUUGCUUUUAGGAAUUUAUUUCUAUUUUUGAGGACAGACUAUAAUUUAAUUUGGAUGCUUUAAGUCUAGUCAGGCUGCAUUACUUGGCUCAUAUGCAGUAAUUCUAAUUCUUGAGCUUAAGAAAGAAGAGGCAAUUUGCCAAUGGGAGUGGAGGAGGAUAUAUGCAAGCAAGUAUAUUGUUUCAGGAGCUCAAGAUCACUGAAGGUGUAAGUUGAGUUUCCUAAAAGAAAAAAGAAAAGAAUAUGCAGACGCUUUGCUAAGCAUAGUGUUACAUGCUAUGAAAUGGCUUCUAAGGAUCAUCUUCAAACCUAAUGACCAGAAGGGAAUAACCAGAGCUCUAUUCUUUCUUCUUCAUCCCUAUUGCCAGGAGAUGAGUUCAUACCUUAGACUUAUUUGUCUAUACAUUCAUUUUACUUGACGAGCUUGAUUCUACUGUUUCAAUACAGGGAAGCAAUCGGGAAAAUUCUCGCACGAGGCCACAGUCGUGUCCCUGUCUAUUCUGGAUGUCCAAAGAACAUCAUUGGGCUUCUUCUGGUGGGUGUAAAAAAAAAAAUCACUAGUUUAUGUUGAAUAUGUAUCCAUGUGUCAGCUGCCAGCUUAUUUAGAAGUUGGUUACUUCCUUUCAUAUUCUUAUUUUGAUUUUUAGGUGAAGAGUCUGCUGACAGUACGAGCAGAAACUGAGACUCCAGUCAGUGCAGUUUCUAUCCGCAGGAUUCCUAGGUGUGUGCACUUGAGUCCUUUUUUUUUUCUUCUUGUUAGUUUUAUUGUUCUUUAUGCUAAGGUACCAUUUCUCAUUUUUCUAAUACCCCAGGGUUCCAUCAAAUAUGCCAUUAUAUGAUAUCCUUAAUGAGUUUCAGAAGGGAAGCAGUCACAUGGCAGCUGUUGUGAAGGUUCAUGCAAAGAGCAAGAAUGCACAACCUACCAGUGAUGGAGAGAAAUUCAAUGAAAUCAAAUUUGCCAAUGGGGAUUCUCAGUUAAAUGCACCGUUGCUGACCAAGCAUGAUGGUAAAUCAGAGCAUCUGCUAAUUGAUGUUGAGAAAGCUGCAAGACCUAUGACAAUCAAGCAACAGAAAACACAUGACAUACCUCGUCUGUCAGAGGAUGUUGAGGAUGGGGAAGUCAUUGGUAUUAUCACACUUGAGGAUGUUUUUGAAGAACUAUUACAAGUAAGCCUAUUUCCAACACUUAUCUUGAUUUACCUGACCUUUUUCUCAGCUGCUACUCAAGAACAUAUGCUACCUGUAGUUUGAUUUCUAACUUAAUUAUUCAAUAAUUCGUGUUAACUUGUUAAUGUAAGUACCAUACUGAUAUGAAUUGUUUCUUUGUUCAAUUAUCAUUUCUCCCUAUGCAGGAGGAGAUUGUGGAUGAGACAGAUGUAUAUGUUGAUGUACAUAAAAGGUACUCUGAGAUUUUUGUUUCCAAUGCUUAUAUUUUUCACUUUCUUUAUUUGGCUAUUAUCUGGCUAUAUCAUUAAUGUGGAAUGUGCCAACUUUUUCAGAAUACGAGUAGUUGCUGCAGCAGCUGCUUCUUAUGUGGCUCGAGCCCCAUCCAAUCGGAGGCUGCCUGGCCCAAAACCUGCAGUAAGUAAAUACUAACUUCUAUUGUAAUGUUAACAGCUACUUAACUCUAGAAUAAAACUAGAACCAGUUUAUCUAGUCAAUAAAUGGGUGUCACACUAAAUCAAACAUCAAUUAGGAACUGGAUAAAUCUGGCAGAUCAUAGUAAAUACACCUUACAAAGUCCAGAAAAAUAUGCAAAGUAACUGCAAGUUGAAGAUUUGUGUUGCUCUGGUUUUUUGCUUUCAGCUAUUUAUGCGGCAUGAAAUAUUAAAUUCUAUAUGUUCUCUUUCCAAAAUCAUAAACCGCUUGCUGGGCAAAAGAUCUGGGAAGAGUAUUAUAGCAAGAAAUUUGCUGAUUUUCUCUGAUAACCAUCAUCUGGAAAAGCACACACUUUAUGCUGAUUUCUGUCAUUUGAUGUUAGCCGUAUGCUUGUUUAGCUUACUACAUAUGUUUUUUUCUUCAGGGAGCUCAAGGCAAGCAGAGCCAGACCACAAAAAAAUCUGGAGGAUGAUUUUGCUAUCAAAAAAGUGUUCAACGGAAUCCAUAAGGACCUCUUACAGGAAAAUAAGGAGGUGACUUCGCAGUUCCAUUUUAGCAGUUAAAUUGUAAAUUCCCAAGGUUUAUUUCUUUGUCAACCCAAGGCAAUGUAAAUUACCUCUUGUAAUUUUGAAACAGGGUCAAGGGUAGAUCACAGUUAAAAGUCAGGUCAUAGUUUUUACUUCUGUACAUGAAAUUUUUGUCCAUAAUGUACUAGCAGCCACGACAUAUAUGUGAAAAGUUUUAUGGAUGAGUUUCAUCUGUUGCAUCAUCCAGAAGAGUUUUGUAAGGGCAUGCUUAACAUGGUUUCUGAAAGACUGAAGCUUACUCGUCUAUAUUACCUCAGUUACGAAGUCCCCUUCUGUUAUGUAGGUCAAAAUAUGUCGUGAAGUUGGAUGUUAUCUGUAUAUAAAGUUGGCUUCAGUUCAGGCAGUGGUAGAUACAGAAAUUCGUCCGGAGCUGUAUGUAUUAUUCUCUUUAUCUGUUCCACACGCAAUUGCACAUAGAACUAAUGGGCUUACACCAUUGUGUUAGCACAUCUAUUUGAUCCCACUAGUAAAAUUAUUAGAAAGGAAUCUUAUCUGUAAAUUACUUUAAGAAAAUGUCAAUGUUCUCCUGAUUAAAACUGUACAUUCAACUGUGUUGAAAUUAAACUCUCUUAACAAUUACGAUUAAUAAAAGUUUUCAAUUAAUUCAAGUUAGAUUAAAACUUUUUCUUUUUAUCUUUUCCAGAAUGAAGACACUUUCUUUGGCACACACCUUAUAAUUAAGAUCAGUGGAAGCGACCCAAGAAUGAUUUGGUAUUCUCAUUUUGAUCUACUUGGCUUUCUUAUUUAUAAAAAUUGUGAGAAUUUAGAGUGACCUUGAAUUUGCCGCUUAACUUGCAACGUUGUAGUCAUCGGUUCGACUCGGAUAGAUAGCUGGCUUUCUAAUUUUUAUGAUGUGAAAUGUUGGGUGAGAAUGUAUGAGGGAUUUAAAGGAUGAAAAUGGGUCGGGCAAUAAUAAUAAUAUAUAUAUGUUUGAAUCAUAAAUCCUAAGAUUUUGAGUAACUAGUGGCUAACCCGUGAUCUAAAAUAUUUCUAAAGCGGGCCUAUGUCAAUUCAAAGAUGAAAUACAGAAUUACUAAUUUUCAAAAGUUUUUUUCUUUAAGGGUAUGCAUAUGGGUAUUUGUAGGAGAAAUUGGUGAAUGCCUGUCGUAUACCAGUGGCCCGAUUUAAUAAUGAAAAAAGGGAGUUUUGUGGGUUGUUUUAGCUUUAGAUUUAUACUAUAUAUAUUCAUUAGGUGGAAAUUAAGAGGUUGUUGAUCUCUUUUCUCAACGGGGUGUCAUAUCAAUUCCAUCAAGUUUAUCUAUAUGUUCAUGGGCCGAGCUUGGGCAGGCUCGAGUCGGGCCUGACUUAAUUUUGGAAAGUCUGAGCCCGUCCAAGCUCAAAGAUUUUUUAAUAUCUUUAAGUCUAAGUCCAAAUCUGAAAUUUUUUAAAAAAUUUGGCUCGAUCCGACCCGGUCCCGACAAUUAUUAAACCUGUUCUAAAUUGCAGUUACAUUUAAAUUUAAAGUUUUGUUUUAUUUGAUAUAUUAUUAAUAACAAUCAAAUUAUAAAUAGAAUUAAUAAGUAGCUAUAUAUGAUUUUUCUUUUUUUCCAACUAAACUAGAUAUCGGACUGGACCGGACUGUACACAACAAUUAUUGUCCAAACUCGGCCGGAAAACGGGUACCCAGGCCUAUGAACUGAUCUAGCCUGAAUCAACAAAAAUGUAUAAUAAAGUAAUAAUAAUAAUAAUAAUAAAUAAAUAAAUAAAUAGAUACUUAUAAUUAAAUAAUAAAUAUGAUUCAAUAUUUGAUCCAGUGGCCUCCAAUAGUAUUUUUCUUUUUGGCAAAGCCCUCCAAUAGUUUUUAAGGGCGGUGAGGAAAUGGGACAUGCAUGGAAAGAGAAAUUGAAAGAAGUUUCCUAGAAACCAACAACCACUCCUCCUGAAACACAGCAAUACUAACAUAGAAUUGAAUUUGAUAUGAAUUCCAUUUCCCAAAAUAUGCGGCCGAGAACUCCGCCAAAUGAAUUACCAAUCCAUGCAAACUCCCAAAUCCACGUCAACACCCACCACCAACAUUUUUACAUUUUACUUUGACUAAAAUGCCCUCGUUCAUUCCCUCACAAUUACCCUUCUAUCCAGUUCCUUAGCCUGCUCAGCUCUCCUCGUGUGUCGGUCCGCCCCAACUUAUUUAUACCAUUUCUCCGAGAAAUCAAAGCCAUACCGAUUCCCUACGAAGCAACGAUAAGGUCAGUCUCUUUUGUAAUUCCUUCUGUUAACAGAACUAUACAAUAACGAGAAUAAAUAAAUAAAUAAAAAGGAUAUGCAGCGCUGCUCUCUUCUCCAUCUAUUUUUUUGCUUUUCUGUUUAUUUACUGAUUCGGAUUUCCAGUGAGUGAAAUCUAAAUUAAAUUUUCUUUCUUUCUUUUUUUUGUUUGUUUGAUUGAUUGGCUGGCUGGUUUUUGUUUUCUUGCUACCAUCGAAUGCACUAGGGUUUUUCAAUUGUAUUGAAUUGUGUUUUUGUUUUAAUUAUUUUUUUAAUUGAUCAUGCAGAUUUUGUUGCUGUUAAAUAUGGGUUUCAAAACAGUUUAUCGAAGCUUAGGGGAACUGUUCCCGCAGGUAUUUUUUAUUUUAUUAAUUUAAUUAAAGGGAUUACUUAGUGUUGUGCAUGUUCUUGGCAGGAAUUCGAUAAAGUUUUGGACCUUUCAUUCGAUAUACUUCUUUUUAAAAAAGAAAAAUUAACUAGAUGAGUGGAAUCAAUUAGUUAAUUUCACUGAGCUAAUAUGUCUCUGUGUUCUCGCUCUCGUUGUGCAUAGGUUGAUUCGCGCAUUCUAAAGGCUGUUGCAAUUGAGCAUCCCAAAGAUGCUGAUGUGGCCGCUGAUGUUGUCAUUUCUGAGGUUCUUCCUUUUCUUGCAACAAUUGUUGAUAGCCCUCCUGUCAAUAGCGACCGCAAGCCUAGUGGUUUAUCAGCUGGAAGAGGUAAACACUUAAGCUCAAAUUAUUCCUUUUUAUUACAUGCAUGCAUUUUAAUGGGUUUUGCUCGACCUUUUAUUCUAUUGGUUAAAUUUUGACUUAUGAAUGAUGUGCAGCUGAACAUGAGGAACAUAUCAAUACUUUGAGGAGUGACCAAGUUGAUUUGGGGAAAACUGUAGGUGAUUCUUUGGAAUCAAACUCGAUAGACAAAGCAUGUACCUGUAAAACUGAUCUAGGAAGUUCUGGACAUCCUUCUGGUUCAACUCAUCAAGAAAAGUCAGAGAAUUCAACUGCCCCAGUGUCUGUUGACCUAAAUGCUGAUACUAAUCAAUUGGAAGGAUGUAUUGAAAGUGAGGAACUAAUACUGUUGGUGAGACCUCAACAUCAAGACAAUGUUCAAUCUGUUACAAGUCAGACUUCUGAACUCGUAUCAAGUGCUUUGCCUUGUGAAGAAAUUACUGACAGCAUUCAAGUAUGUGGUACUAUGGAAACUAAGGUGCCAGCUUCAUUGGGUAAAUGUCAAGAUGAUAACAUUACGGUUGGAGGCAAGCAAUAUUUUCAAGUCAUAUCAACUAGUUUGACACAGGAGAAUGGUGAUUUUACUGGCGAUCAGGGAGAGUGGAAAGGUUCUGAUGGCCCUUUGCCAGAUGAUUUUGAUACAAGUGGGAAAAUCUCUCAAGUAGUGUCAUGUGUAGAUGGAGGGAAAAGCCCUCGAGUUGAGCCAUGUGUAGAUGGCACUGAUUUGGAAGUGGACAAUUCUUUGGUUGAAAGAACACCCAAUGCUGCUGAAGUUGAUUUUCAAUCAGAAUUAUCUGGCACUCCCACUAAUAGUUGUAAGAAUUUGAAGUUCAAUCAAGACAUUAAGAUUGAUUUUCUCGAAGAUAUUGUUGAAGCUGCUAGACACAACAAGGUAUUUUCUCAAAUACUUAGCACUACUAGGGAAAGUUCAUGUGAUGCAUUGUGCUAAUCUGGUAGUUUAAUGCACGACUUGAUUGGUAGUUCCAUCAAUACAUUAAUCUAUAUGUUCUCAUGUCUAUAAGUUAAUUGGUGAAAUGUACUGAAACUAUGCAUAUGUGAUUCAUACAGCUUCCCUUCAUUCAUACAAUAUGAGGUAUGAUGUUGAUUAUAUAUUCCUAACUAAUGACAGAUCUGCAUUCCUUUGUUGGCUGAUGAUGCAGAGAACUUUGUUUUUAUCAAUGGAGUCAAUAAUGAAUAUGAUGAGAAAAGUUGAACUUCAAGAGAAAGCUGCAGAAGAUGCCAAAGAGGAAGCCUCUAGUGCAGGUUUAGACAUUCUAACGAAGGCGAACGAACUUAAACAGAUGCUGGAACAUGCAAAGGAUGCAAAUGACAUGGUAGUUCUAUUGUAUUUAAUAAUUGGGUCGGAUAUAAUUACAUAUUGGUUUGCUAUAUGGCUCUUUGAGAGGACCAUGCAAUUCAACCCUUUUUAAUUGCUUAUACAGCAUGCAGGGGAAGUUUAUGGUGAGAGGGCAAUUCUAGCCACUGAAGUGAGGGAGUUGCAGGCUCGGCUUCUCAGCUUGUCUGAUGAAAGAGACAAAGCUCUUGCAAUUAUUGAUGAGGUAUUCAAUAUAACCGUUUCUUAUUUUCACAGCGUAUAUGUAAAAAAUGAUUCCCUCCCCAACCCCAGCCCUGCCCCCAUAAUUAUUUCUAGCUUCAAGCUGUUACAGUUGUCUGUUAGUCAUUUCCAAACACAUUUUUUCUUUUGAAUCAACCCAAGUCCUUUUCAGGUAGAUGUGGUAUAGUGAGAUAAUUUUAAUAAUUCUUUAAGAAAUUAACUCUUGCAUUUAUUGUAAAUAUUUAUUAUAUUAUAAUAUGUAAUUAUAUUAAAUUAUAUUAGUAUUAAAGUAUUCAAUUAUAUAAUUAUGAUUAUGAUUUAUUAUUUUUUAAUAAUUAUUUAAUUUAAUAUAAUUUUUAUAUACCCAACUUAAACCUUUAGCCACAAUCUAGUUGUUGGACUAUGUGGAUCAGUAUUCCUUAGGAUGACCUUUAACCAAGGAUUUGAAGUUGCUAACUUCUUUUCUAUUAUUCCACCUUACAUCAUCCUAGUUCUAUCCUCUGUCUUCCCUUCUUCUGCGCACACGUCAUCAACUUGCAAACAAUUCUAUAUAUUUGAUACACCAUUUUGCUUUGCAAUCUUAUGCUUGAUGAGGUGCAUUUGGUUCAUUUCUCGCAGUACACCAUUUGAGAUGGUAGAAUCGUUAAAUGGUCAAUUACUUGGGAGUAUAUCUCUGAAAAUCUGAUCACUGUAGCGCAAUAAGUCAUGUGUUUAGAUUUGAACAUUGGCUGGAAUAAACGAAAUGUAGAAGGCUGCAUGGUUGUACUAAGAUUAUUAUGUAUGUGAGCAAACAUGUUGCUUAUUUUUUAAGUAAAUGAAUCUUUUCAUAGAUGCAUCAAUCCCUUGAAGAACGACUAGCUGCAGCAGAGGAGCUGAAGAAAGCAGCUGAGAAGCAGAAGCUGGAACAGGAAGAAGCUGCACGGAAUGCUCUUGCUGAACAAGAAGCCAUCAUGGGUCAGGUGGUGCAGGAGUCCAAGAUCAUACAGCAGGAGGCAGAUGAGAAUUCUAAGGUUGCCGCUAGUUGCUUUAGUGUAAUCUCUAGUGAUGUGAGGUGUCAACCAAGUUAGAACAAUUAUUUUCUAACUAAUAUAAUUUUGCUUUACUGCAGCUACGGGAGUUUCUUAUGGACCGUGGUCGUGUUGUUGACACAUUACAGUAAGUCUUUCUUUAACUAUUCAAAUAAUCUGUGUUUUUGCAUUACAUAGUUAUUCUAACAUUUAUACGGACAGAUUUUUCACAUUAUUUUGGUUGCACUGGAUGUCACUACUAUUUUUCUUAAUUUGUACCCUAGAGAUCCAUCAAUGAUACUAGUUGCCUGUAAAUAAUUUUUAAAAUUUUGGCAGAUUGCAUCAGUUGCUCAUGUAAUUUACUAUUCCUAUUUGAACUAGAGGCAAUGUAAUUUUUCAGGUCAUUGACUUACUUCAUCAAUGGUCAUUAAAGGUUUUACAUAUUAAUAGCACAGCACCUAAUAAAACAUGUAAAUAGUAAUAUAAGCAGUUCUAAACUCUUGGGGCUAACAAAUAUUCUUCCUCUGUCUGUUAUUUGCUUUGUAUUUUUUAAAGUUUUCGUCUCCAUUAUGCGCUCUAACUUGCAGUUCUUGUGGUACCAAACAAAAUGCUACUACCAUUAUGAACUUUUGCCGAAGACUAUUAGCAAUUUUUUUUCAUGCUGUCUGUAUAAUACAAACAUGGGUUGAUGGAACUUUUGUACAGAUGGUUGGAAUGAUAUUUGUUGUUCACGUUCUUGCAGAGGAGAAAUUUCUGUGAUCUGUCAGGAUGUAAGAUUGCUGAAAGAGAGAUUUGAUGAGCGCAUUCCAUUGAGCAAGUCUAUUUCCUCGAGCCAAACCAGUUGCAUCUUAGCCUCUUCAGGCUCAUCCAUUAGAAGCAUCGCAACUGAUCUGGUUCCUGAACCAAGGGAGACAUCUAAGAGCCUUAAAGAUAGAAGCCUAACACCCUCUUCUAUCGAUGGCCGCUCACCGACGAGCCCGACAACCUCCUCUUUUAUUGAUGGCCGGUCACCGAAGAGCGGACUAAAGGAAGAGAGGACGAAUGGUGAAGUGGCGUCGGAUGAUGAUUGGGAGAUCUUUGAAUGACUCAGAAAUCUAAAGCUAAGCUACGUAAAUGGGUAGAAGUAACUCUUUAAUAGGAUUCCAUACAGGUGACACUGGAAUAUUAAUUUUAAUUUUAAUUUUAGCUUAGGUUAAAGCUUUUUCGCUGUCGAUUGAGUUUUGCAGCUCAGACGUGGAUAGUAGCUACUCUAUUUUUGGAUUUUUUAUAUUGUAAAUGGCUUAUUAAAUAAAAGUAUGGAAUCAAUAUAUUUAGUUACUUGAAUCAAAUUACCUCUUGCCUUUCCUAUCACCAUUUUAUUUUUUCAGACAAAAGAAUAUGGCUGCAAAUCAGGCUAAAUUAAAAGAAUCAACAUUUUUAUAAUUCUUUUAUAAUAAUUCAUUUUAAAUUGUUUCUUAUAAUAUUUUUUUAGAUGAAAAUAUUAUAAUACAAUUUAAGAAACAAACCGUAUAAAUAAAAUAUUUUCAUAUUUUAAGUCAUAUAGAUUUAAAAUAAAAUUUUGUAUCCUAAUUUUUGUAUAUAUAAUAUUAAAAAUCCUACAAUUAAGUAAGAUUUUACAUUGGAGUGGUAUCAUGGCCCUCUCUUAACUGCAACUGCCUGAGGUUAGUGUGUGACUACGGUGAACGAAAAAAAAAAUUACUAAUUAAUUAGAAAUUUUGUACUUUUAGAUAAUUUUAUUUAAUUAUUUUAAAAUUUAAAGUAACUAUUUAUAUUUUUAAAAAUAUAUUUUCGAUAAUAAUUUUUAAAAAUUUUACACUAAAAAAUUAAUAUGUCAAAUUAAUUUUGCUAACUAACAUAAAAAUUAGUGAGUUAAUAAAAUAUUUAUUAUAUUUAGAUAUAAAACAUUUGUUACAUUUAGAUAUAACAUACGUAAUAUUAUUAAGUUUAGUAGAAAUUAUUUUUGUUGAUUCAUAAUUAUUAUUUAGUAACUAUAAUUGAUUUUCUAUGUUAUUUUGUUUACGUAAAAUUAUAAAAAUUAUAUUAGAAAAUAUUUUUAAAAAUGAAUUAAAAAAACAGAUAUUUAUUUUAAAAUUUUAAAAUAAUCAAAUAAAUUUAUUAAAAAAUAUAAAAUUAACAAUUUAAUUAAUAAUUAGAGAAAAAUAAAAUAACAAUAAUGUGCCACAAGCAGUCAUGUCACAAAUAACAAUUCUCUCACCCGAUAAAAUUAAUAGUAACCAAAUCAUAUCCAUUUUAGAGUCCAAUUACGUUUUCCUUAUCCCAUUUAGUUUCUCAAGUUAAGAUACGAUGCUUUAAACGUCCAUUCUCAAUUACAUGCAAUCCGCGUUUGUGUUAAAGAGUUGUAUUUUCACAUCAUACUCAUCCAUUAUCCUAAUCAUAUUAUGAAAUCCUAAUCCGAUUAUGUUCCCUUCUUCUGUGAAUCAGAUUCCUAUAAAUAUGGGCCUAACCUCUUCCUCUUUGAUCAUCCACAUUCUAUUCUCCCUUCAAUUUUUCAGUCUCUGAUCAUCAUCUAGUUCUCUUUGUUUUUAAUUAUCUUUUUCCAAGAAAAGAGAAAAGAUGGUGCUUGAUCUUUCUCCUAAGUUGGCUAAAAUGGUCUGUGGGGGCAAUGGUGGCUCCUACUCUGCGUGGUCACCCACUGAGCUUCCCAUGCUACGACAAGGAAAUAUUGGUGCUUCCAAACUUUCUCUUCUCAGGAACGGCUUCGCCCUUCCUCGUUACUCUGAUUCUUCCAAAGUUGCUUAUGUUCUUCAAGGUAUAGAGCCUUUUGCUCUCUCUGUUUUACUUGUUAAUCCUUUCUUUUCUUAUAAGGUGCUUUCAAAUUGUAAGUUUUAGCUUGAUCUGUUUUCUCUAAAUAAUUAUGGAUUUUGUUAUGUUUAGGUAGCGGUGUAGCAGGAAUUGUCCUACCAGAAUUAGAAGAAAAGGUAGUUGCAAUCAAGAAAGGUGAUGCAAUUGCACUUCCGUUCGGUGUAGUUACAUGGUGGUAUAACAAAGAAGACACAGAACUUUUAGUCCUGUUCUUGGGUGAUACCUCAAAAGCUCAUAAAUCAGGUGAAUUCACUGAUUUCUUCCUUACUGGUUCUAAUGGCAUCUUCACUGGCUUUUCCACGGAGUUUGUUAGCCGUGCAUGGGACUUGGAAGAAAAUGCUGUUAAUACCCUAGUCCAAAACCAAUCUGGCAAUGGAAUCGUCAAGCUGGAAGAAAAUUUCAAGAUGCCUGAACCCAAUAAAGCACAUAGACAAGGCAUGGCAUUGAACUGUGAAGAAGCUCCUCUUGAUGUUGAUAUCAAGAAUGGAGGUAGAGUUGUGGUCUUGAACACCAAGAAUCUUCCUUUAGUUGGUAAAGUUGGGCUUGGUGCUGAUUUGGUUAGAUUGGAUGGAAGAGCAAUGUGCUCUCCUGGCUUCUCCUGUGAUUCUGCUCUUCAAGUCACAUACAUUGUUAGAGGCAGUGGUCGCGUUCAGGUUGUUGGUGUUGCUGGUCGUAGAGUCCUGGAAACUACUGUCAGAGCAGGCUGUUUGUUCAUUGUUCCAAGGUUUUUCGUCGUUUCGAAGAUUGCUAAUCCUGAAGGAAUGGAAUGGUUCUCUAUCAUUAGUACUCCUGAUCCAGUUUUUACCCACUUAGCUGGAAGGACUUCAGUGUGGAAGGCAUUGUCUCCUGAAGUUUUGGAGGCAUCAUUCAAUGUUGAUUCUGAUGUAGAAAAGCUUUUUCGUUCGAAGAGGACCAGCGAUGCCAUCUUCUUCCCUCCACCAAACUGAAGCAGCAACAGCAGCAGCAGGGUCAAUUCUACAUUGACUAGUCUUUAAAAUCUUUAAUCAGUUUGGUUGUUAAUAGAUUUACUUCAAUUUUAUAAGUUAUGCAACUUGUGAUACUACUUCCACAAGUAAAUAGAUACAUACUAUAGUGAUUAUAAUUUUUCAUAUUGUUUCUGUGAAUUUCCCUUUCUUGCACUCUUAUUCUUAAUAUCCCAAUAGUUACUGGUAACUACUCUAGCCAACCCAUGUGUGUAUACUUCAGAAACCUUAAAGGCACAGAAAACUGGGAAAAGCUCAAAUAAAUGAAUGUUACUGGAUCUAUUCUGAUAUGUUGCAAAUGGUGGGAAUUAAAUGAUCCUAGCCUAGCAAGCAGCAUUGCUCCCGAUGGUGCAAGAGAUUAUGCACCCAGAAUUCUUGAUCUCAGUACUCAAAAUGUUCUUAGAGUUGUAUAAUCAAAAACUUGUAAAUCAAGGAUCAAUAUCCUCCUGCAAGAUUGUUAAGAGAUCUCGUAAUAAGUGCAGUUCAGCAAAAAGUUAAUGAUAGUUUUAAAAGAAACCUGAAAAUAGCUUCAAGGGGCUUAAUGUACAAUGUGCAAAAUCAUCAGUUUUUGAUUCUAUGUUACAUGUAUUUCACACAUAAAACACUCCUGGAAAACCUAAGUUUUGUCUACUUUUCUGUAAGAAGAAAUCUGCUAAAUUAUUACACUAUACACUGAUCCUGAUCCACCCUUCAUUUUCACCAUCUAAGCUUCUUCCGAUUCCUGUAAAGUUAGUAACUUUAAGGACUGAAUCCCAUAAUUCACACUCAUCAAGCCUCCAUCAAUGAUGCUUUGACCCAUAAAGAAAAGGAAAAAAGAAAAAAGAGGACUAAUCAUGCCAACACAGAAGCAUGACAGUACAUCUCCAGAUGAUAUAAAGCCUUGUUCUUUGCUCUCUAAUUUGCUUUGAACACCUGUGCCAUGACCUUAUCUUCAUGCUCCUUGUUGAGAAUGCACUUGAUGCCAUUAUAUUGAACUGUAAUUUAAAGGGGCUAAAAUGAGCAGCCGCGUUUUGAGUGAAGAAGUUGAAAAUAGAUGUUGAAAUUGAGAGUUAUAGCUUGAAAAAUUCCUCAAGACUCAGAAGCCAUUUUAUAUAAGGAGGAAAUGAGAGCAGAAGAUAUAUGUUAGAAAAAAAUUUGUGGUGAGUGACAAUUCCUGGCUACCUGGUUGGGCCCAUGGGGCCCAAGAUAUAAAGAUGACAAGGCAAAUGCUAAUAGCUUGUCUCCCUGCCAAACCAACUUGAUAAGGACCAGUCAUCAACUUCACUCUUGAGGGGUCAUCCUUGUAGGGUAUGUGGACCCUCAUUCAAUGCAUUAUGCAUAUUAUACAACUCCAUCUCAGUUAAUUUUGGACUUUAGUUUAUUGUUUAAUCUUUGGACCAACUAAAAUAUAUUCCUCCUAAAAUCAUACCAUACCCAAAAAUCAUUAUCAUUUUUUUGGACAAAUAUGAAGAGAGGUGUUAUUAUAUUCUUUUGAUAAAUUUUAAUUGAACUCUCUUUGAAAUGGUAUUUUAUCAAUUUGAAGUUAUUACCUAACUUAUAAUUGGCACUAUAGUGGGAUGUUUUUUGAAUAAAUCUUAGUUGUUAAAAUAUGCAUUUUUAUAAUCUGGCCAUGGCCUAAAAGUAUUACUAGCGCUGGGCUGUCAAUCUCACUUUUAAUGGGAUAUUACAAAGUAUUUAAAUUUAACAAGGAAUUUUACUUUUUUUUGAAAGAGAAAUUUAACAGAGAAUAAUAUAUAUACACACAAUAGUAAAUUAGAGAACAAUUUACUUUUAUUCUGCUAUUAAGCAUGGUAGAAUUCUCAAUCGGGUAGUUGACAAAUUUUAAUAAUUAAUGCUAUAAUUAAAAAAUAUAACUAAUAUAUAUAUAUAUAUAUAUAUAUAUACCUAGCAUUUAAGAUUUUGAAAGUGUCAUGAGGCAACAAUAAUUCCACUGAACAAGUCUUAUGUCCUAAUCUUUAAUUUAUUUUUAUAGAUUAAGCAUUCUUUGGUAUAUAUAUGAAAGGUUCAACUUAUUUAAAUAAAUGUUGUUAUCAAACUUGUUAAUCAUGUUAUGGGUAGUUGACCAGUGAUGAACUAUGGCAUUGAUCAUAAAGUGACCCUAUUCAAAUGCAAGAUUAGGUACCCCUAAACAAAUGCUUAGCAUAAUAAUAACAAUUAAUGACUCUCCCGUGACUCAAAUAGUCAGUUGGAAUGAGAAAUUAAAUUGUUUAUAUCAAAAACUCGUAAUAUAUCAAGUCAUAUUUAAGAUUGUAAAGUCUCUAAUUCGAACCUAAUUAAGUCAAUUAAUAAAAUAAAAUAAAAUAAAAUAAAAAAAACUCAUAUUGUAUGAAAACAUUAUUUUCUUUUUAUUCUGUACUAUUUCCAUUUAAAUGUAGUCAUCUCAACACUUAAUCAAGAGGGAAAAUAUUGGGAUUCCUACAAUCUUUGCCACUACCACCUGGGCUUAACUAUAAGAAAAUCUUGUUAUUAGGGAAACAUUCUAUGUAUUGAUAGUAACAAACACCUCUCCUUCUUUUGUUAUUUAUUAUUACUGAGAGUUUAACAUACCUUAGAUGUUACAACAGGGAGCAUAUAUUGUACAUAAGAAUGACAAUCAAAUGAGCCUUCAAUUCAUUUUGAAUCAUAACUUAAACAGGAGACAGCACGAGUAUAUGACAAAGAAACUUCAAGAUCUUGUCACCCAAUUACUGUUGCCACUUGUUGAAAUUUCAUAUCAAUACUUAAAUGACUUGUUUCUUCUUUCUGCUUGGACAAGCACCAAUAGCCAAUCAAUUCACACAUCACACAUAUCUAUUCCUGAAGUUUAAAAGACAGAAAGAAAAAAAGAAAACUCAAAAUUGACACUUCACUAUCAAUUUUGACGUAAAUUUUAGAGUAAAUAUUUAAAAUUUGGAGUUGGCAGUUAGAAAGAAAACAGCAUGGAUAUGACCGUAAACAUUAAUAGCAUUAGCAUUAGCAAGAGAGGCGACAGGAAGAGGGAAGUGCAGCCCUGGUAGAGUCCAUAAGCAGGUGCAACCUGUCCGAGAGAAGUUAAACCCAUGUACGUAGUCCUAUUCAAUCCAACAUGCCCACCACUUAUCAUUGCCGGCCGUGGCAAACUCAUUUAUAAUGCUCAACUUUACUCUUAAUUUUUAUGGUGGUGCUGAGUGCCCCUAUUCUGUUAUGUCCUUCUCACCAAUACUUCCCGUCUUUUGACCUUGUUUCCUGCUCGACACGCGGGCUCCACCAUCUUUCGACUUUCUGUCCUCAGAUCCGUGACACGUGCCCUCUUGGGUCGUUCUCUUUGGGUCUUUAGCCAAUCAGAUUUUAGAUUUUAGCCCCUGUCCACGUGCUUCACUGUGUCCCUGUGUUGGGCUAAAGUUUAGCAAGAGGGAAGGUUCUUUUGUUGUGAACCUUAUCUGAAUUCAAGCAAAAGAGUAGCUUUAAACCAGGACAUGAUAAGGUUCAUAUGGUGGAAUUUCGUGACAAUAUCUAAGAUAAGUUUACAAUCAUACAUACAGGUGCUGGGUAUAAUUGUUUAAAAGGAACCCAUAAUUACUUAAUUUUCAAUAUUGGUAAUUCUUUUAAAAUAAUUACGAAUAUUUUUUAAUUCACAUCAUAUUUUAUUUUAAAUAAUUAAUGGAUUGCGGACUUUAGAAUAGACAUAAUUACUUAUAAAGGUGAUAAAUGAAAAUACACGAAUUAAGUCACACAAGUAUAUUAGUCCAUGAUUAAAGGAGAGCUUGACUUUUGUGAUUAGUAGUUGUUACAAUAUCGUAAUGUAAUAAACAAAAACUUUGGUUCAGAAACUUUGAUAUAUUUUUUUAUAAGUAAAUAGAAUCCAAGUUAUGAACAAAUUCAGAUUUUAUUUAAAAUCAAAUUAUAAUUUUUUCAGAAAAAAAAAAAAACAAUAAAAAGAAGUUAUCAGUCUGGAAAAUAGAGUGACUGUCCACAGCUUAAGGCAGUCAACCAAGGAUGGGAAAUGUUUGACCAUUUAAACAGGAGAAAUGGAGUUCAUGAAUUAAGACCCUACCAUACAAUACAAUGGAAGACAACGGAGAUGAUUAGGAAAUGCGCACGUGGGUAGCAACAGAAUGUUUCAACAAUGUCAAAUUUCAUUUCAAUUCACUCAAAAUCCAACCUGUCGGGAUAACAUUUCUUCAAAAGCCAAACUUCUAUUUCUCCUUUUGUUUUUUUAUCAGAAAAAUAUCAGAGUCUGAAGCUAUUCAAACAAAUAGCAUUUCAUUAUUUAUUUCUCACUGUAGAUGAUAAAUAUAAAUUCUGGUAAUAUUAGUAAAUAUGAUAUACAAAAAAAUUCAAAUUCAAAUUCAAAUUUCUAUAAUAAUUGAAAACACUAAUUAUUUUAAUUUAAAAUUUUUAAAAUAAUAAACAUUAUUUUAGAAUUUUAAAGAUCCCAAUAACAUUAACAGUCAUUUGCUUUAAGCCUUGGAGUCAUUCUACAAUUCAAAUCAAUUAAAUAUCAACUAAUAAAGAUAACUGAAAGUUUCAAGGUUUACAACACUCCAUACUAGCAACUUAGUAGCAAACAAACUAUCUACACCAACUGAAUUAUACAUUUUGCUCUAAUCUUUUUCAGAUUUUUAUUUUCUAACCUAUAAACAAACUCAUACAAAAACGUGGAAGUUCAUCAAUCCUGAUAUAUAAUACUAACUCAAAACCAAAGUUGCUUAACCAUUCAAACGCUGUACACCCUGUGUCCUUUAUUGAAUUUGUUCAUGGCAUAUUUUCCCACGACUAUUUUUCCAGGGCUUUCUUGAUUUCAUCCUGUUCCCAAAAACAAGAAAGAUGAGAGUGUUUUCAGAGUAACAUUGUACAUGUACACCCAACACAUAUAGAGAUACAUCCCAAAACACACAGAGAGAGACAGAGAUGAAGAACCUCAAUGGACAAAGGACUGGUGGUUGGUCCAUAUCGGUUGAUGACUUGCCCAUCCUUACUGACUAGAAACUUCGUAAAAUUCCAUUUUAUGCCAGACCCCAUAAAUCCAAAUUUGCUUGCCUUGAGGAACUUGUAAACAGGCGCUGUAUUUGCCCCAUUGACUCGAACCUAAAUUUAACAGAUUUGAGCAUCUAGCAUUAGGAAGAGCAAUCGCGAAGUGGAACAUAGAUACACAUAGUUGAAGAUAGCCAGUUAACAUGCAGUGGAAUUUACAGGGGCAUGAAAAGAACAAUGAGACAUCAAUUACAGAUGCAGUUAUUUUGAACUCUUCUUAGACUUAAAUUUGAAUUGUUGAUGACCAAAAAGGAUAUCUAAGAAUAAAAAAUAAAAAUCAAACUAAAAAGAAAUAUUUUUGCGCACCAUCUCUAUUAUUGUGCAUACUGAAUUAUCAACGGCUUCUUCUAUUAUUUUAAAAUUUCACUUUCAGAUACUCGAACAGCCUUCAUUCUUUACCACUAUCAUCACAUUAUAAACAAAAAUCCAACAUGCAUAACAGAUGCUCCACUCAAAGAUUACAGUUUAAACAAUGGACAAGGCUUCUAAACCCACUUAAUAUAAUCAAAGUAGUGGUCAGGUUGAAUAUGAAAGGACAAGUUUCCAAGGAGCCAAGAAGGGUCGUAACCAAUCACUUCAUAAUAUGUAUCCAACCUAGCUCUCAAAGGCACCAUAAAUCAUGGAACUGGCAACUCAAGGUAUUCCUUCCAAGACAUCAUAGAUCAACAGGUUGUACGCUUAAUAUGAUACAAAAUUUUCAGAAAUCCUGUUAAUCCUAAAUACAUGGGCAGUAGGGAAUGGAAGAGUUAAACCACCACUUCCCAACUGCAGAAGCAAUAACAACGACUUAGUCGCCAUUAUUAUUUGCAUAACUCGCUUAGAUUUAUAAAUAAAUAUUCAGGCAUCUCACUGACCACAGUGCCAUAAUAACAAGCUAUGGUAUCAAAUUAAAGAGCAUCCAGAGAAGCAAAAGUAUUAAAAACUAAAACUGGAUAAAAAUAUUAUCUGAGAUGAACAAAUUUCUUGCAGCUACUGAUAACCAGACAAGGACAAGUCCGUGCCAAUUAUUUUAAACUCAACUUGAUAACCGGCAUGCCAAACAUCCUUUGUAAAUGUAGCAUUUAACCUUUUAGAAAUUAACUCCCUCCUAAUAAUGAAAUUGGAGACUUAAGCUAGCAUCAAAUAAUUUAGCUAAUUUAUUAAAACAAAACUUAUGGUCGAUCUGUCAAUAGAUAUUAUUGCACCAAAACUGGGUAAGAAAACAGAAAACUCAAUGUACGUUUCCAAAAGAUACGAGUACAGCACAAGCAUGUGCAAAGAGAACAUAUAUAAAACUGUGAAUGCCUUUCUCUCCCACUAUGGAGAACAUCAAUUACAAAUAAUUGUGUCUGGCAUUUAAGUGAAUAAAAUCGACUUUAAAGAAAGAAAAAUAACAUAGCCUUGUUAGGUUACUUCGGUAAAGACACAAGAAAUUAUAAAUUUAUCUUGUUAAAUAACUAAUGGAAACAGUAUCAAACAACUGAACUCGAAUACCUUUUGGAAAAUAGGAUAUUCAGCCUUGUAUCGUGUACAGGCAAAUUCUUGUGCUUCUUCGCUUGAUCCAGGCUCUUGUUUCAGGAAUUGAUUGCAUGGAAAUGCCAAAACUUCAAAACCUGAAAUUAUCCAAUAAUAUGUGUUCUCAACAAGCAAAAAAAUAAAAGAAAAUAAAGACCAUGGCAUUGUUGUUCUAAAAUCAGAAUAUGGUCAAACUUCAUUACUAUCAACAAAGUUUGGGUCCUAGAAAGCAGAAUCUGGGUUCCACUUUUCAACAUUUUGCAUAAAGUGGAAGCUCAAAAAACUUUAACUUGCACCCUCGCAAUCGCAAGCUCAAAACUUUACCAAUUCACCAAGCAAUGGGCUCUCCAAAUGGGAAAAGUUGAAAAACUUAAAAAAAGAAAGCAUAUUAAUGAAAAUAUUUCGGAUUUUAAACUAUUAAGAAUGACGAUAAAUGUGGUGAUUCUUUUAUCUAGACAAGGGCUUACUUGUGAAUCCUGAUCGCACUGAAAUUAAAAGAAAAAUGCGUCUGCCCCAUUUAUACUCAUAUACUCCUUAUCAAAACUGAGAUCAUAUAUUAGAAGCCAUUUAGAGAUUCAACCAAGAAAAUAUCAAUGCGAGUGCCUUUAAUCAUGCUCUAAAGUAAUAGUUUGCAUAGUUUCCUCCUUUCACAAUGGGUAGAAACACAGAAGAAAAAACAAAAAUGAAGAAACAGAUACAAUUAGAACACAAUUCAACAGGGAGAGGAGAAAGAAAAAGACGGAGAGAGAUUAGGCAUGCCUACAGAUACAAUAUUCAAAAGGAUAAAAACAAAAAUGGAGGAAAGAGAAGUAACAAUACCUUGGUCCUUAUACUUGUUAUAAAGAUCAGUUAACUGGGUAUAAUUAGUAUCUGUAAAUCCACUGCCCAAAAAAUAACAAAAAAAAUAUUCAGGGCUUUCCAAUUCCAAAGCAAAUAAAUAAAAGAAAAAGAAAACAAAUAGUAAAGAGAAAAACCAUUUGGAGGCCACAUUAACGACAAGAAGAACUUUUCCUUUAUAGAUACUGAGGUCCACAUCCUGACCUCUGGCAUCCUGAACAUCCCAAAAGCCGUCAACACAUGAUUUGCAAUGUAAGUAAACAAUUUGGAAAGAAGAAGAAGAAGAAGAAGAAGGAGAAAACGAAGGAAAAGAGAAAACCUUGACAGUGAAUUCAUGGAUAGAUUUUUCUGGAACUGAUGGAGAAGCCCCCAUCUUGAAACCGAGAGAGGGACUGACUAGAAACAGCCAAAGAAACUUCCUUUGUAUUAUUGGGUUGGUGUUGUGAUUAAUCUACAGCAAUUCCCUUAUGAUGGAAACUGUCAACUUUUGUUUUUCUUUUUUUCUUUUUUAUCAAAGGUUUUGUUGUUUGUGAUUUGAAUGUGUAAUAAAUGUGGGGCAAGGGUGUAAAGAGGUUAAUAUAGUAAUAGCUCUAUGAUAAUAUGAUACAUUUCAGCCAUAACUUUCUCUGGAUCCCUGAUUUCCUGAGCUGGCAUUUUUAUCCAAUUAAUUAUAAAUAUAUAAAAUAGCUUCCUGUCUUUUUUACAAUUACACCCUUUUGUUUUCUUGAAUUAUACACGCAAUUUUAUCUAUGUUUAGGUCCAGCCACUUAUUCAGGAAACAGCCUGUUAUAAUAGUAGUUAUGAUAACAAGAGCAAAAGUGAAAAUGACAAAACACAACCAUACCAUUUUUUACCAAGUUAUGUUUUUAUUUAUACAAAAACGAGUCUAUUUUCACAACAUAAAAUGCUAAAGUUACAAAAAAAGUGUUACUUGUGUCUAUUAAAGAACACAUGCUGGCACUAACCGGCUAAUAAAAUGAAAAUUUUGAAAACUAGUCCACAGAGGGCACACCACCAACCAAAUGUCAAAAUGAUGAGCCUACUUUCUACCACUCAAUUUGCACCCAACCACAUUGUUGAAUUUGAAUGAAUUCCUCCCAGCUAGCAGAACAUGGUGUGACAAGGACAAUUUGCUACCAUCUUACUCGCAAUUCCCAUUUAACAUUUCAGACCAUAUUCUCAACUGGCUCUUAACUGAACACACUACACUUUCACAUUCGCACCUCCCAUGGGUUACAGUACAUCCACACAAACCAUUCUACCCGCAGUCCCCAUGCAAGACUGUGCUAUUGUAUCAUGUCAGAACGUUCAGAUUCUAAAUAAAAAUAUAGAAACUUUGUUUUCCAGCGUUACAUUCACAACAAAAUGAUAGUUGAAUGCCUCUCAUUCUGAAUUCUGAUCCAGCUGAGCCCAAAAAUUCUUCCACUAUAGAUCAAACGAAAAUUUUUACAGCAAAAAAGGACCGACUAUUUAAAGAAGCUAAAAGUUGUAACAAAUGGCCCUGCGAAAAUUUUGAUGGAAUUCCUAGGAGGCCUUUCAACAAAUAAUAAUAUGCUAGGGUAAAGAAAAGAAAAAUUGAAAAUUUGAUACAUGACAGCCUAGAGUUAGGUUACAGCUCUCCCAGAACUCCACAAUGACUGUCUUGCAGCCCUCUGCAUUUGCAAAGUCUAUAAAAUACAUAUAUACAACCCAAUGAAGCAUACGUGAUGACAUCUUGGGAGCCAAAUCCUCUGUAUGAUGAACUAUCCUGUGAAGAGCAUUGAGAACCGACCCAGAUAGACUUCUCCUUCAAACAAGCCGAGAAGCCAGAUAAAAAAAAAAAAAGGGAUUCUGACAAAUAUAGACCAGUGUAUAAAUUAGAAGUGAACAAACAAUUAACAAACCUGUGCGUUAAAAAGAAAUGUAUAGAUGCAAUACUGCACCUAUCAACAUGAACUUACCAAUUCCAGCUAUGUAGUACUAUUUACUCAUCUCGGCCGCCAAAUGCCUGGCCCUGAAAUGCAAGAUGUAUGAAAUGUGAUUUAUUUACCUGAGCAAAAUAGGCCCAAUCUUUCUAAUGCCAGACCUAACCAUUAUGAAAUAAAGCAUAUAUCCACAAAAAAGAAAGGUGGAAACAUGAACAUCAUAGGUCCGGAAAAAACUAUAUUUUCAAAAUGAGAACAUCCCCACAGAGAAAGAAAAACAGAACACUGACCUCUAUUAGAAACUGGAACUGCAUCAGAAGGUGGUCUAAAAGGCAUGAAGUUCCUGUGAUGCAUAUCCUGAGAAGGGUACGACCAUCCUUGAUGCGGCAUUCUAGUUGGCUCUCGUGGGGGGCCACCAUAUGGACCUCGUGGGUAAGAUGCUCUCGAUUUGUCAGGAUACCUUGGGCCUAGAGUAGGGAUAAAGAAGUUGGAAAUAAAAUGCAAUUAUUACUACCAUUGUACAGAAUAACAUUUUCACAUAACUAAAUUCCCUAUAAACUUUCAUGUUAGGAAUAACCUUACCAGGAAAGGGGGGUGGAGGAUAUCUCCAACUCUCAUCAUAUGGUGCUGGUCUCAUUCUCUCGUGGUUAUUGUAAUAAUUACCCCCAUCAGUAUUAUGAGAUGAUUGGUAUCUGUGGUGGUGGGAAGGAGGUGGGCUUGCUCUCCGAGACUUCACAUGCUGACCAGCCUGAACAUAAGAGAAUUGAUUUGAAGGCGGAUGAUGUGGUGGCCUUGGAGCAUAAGCUUUAUGAUGAAAAUUAGGACUAUCUGCGUGUUGGACAUUGUUCACUGGGCAUGCAGGGUAACUGCUGAAAGAGCUUGUUGAAUCGCAAAGCUGCAUCUGCAUCUGAUCCCUACAUUCAGUAGCAUGGUAAUGCACCCCAUCGGUUAUUGAAGAGGUGAUUCUUGGUGCUGCCAGCGGCUGAGCCACUGUUUCUCUCAAGUCGUCAUGCAUGUACUGUAAAUUUCAGCUCAAUCAGAAUAGAUGAAGCGCACACAGUAUUCCUCUCUACACUGAAUCAGUAAAGGAAAAAUGCUAUGUAGUAUAAGCACUCACAUGUGAAUUUGUAUAAAGCUUUGAAUCAACACCGUUAACAUAGGGGUCAGGCAUUCCACUUGAAGGGAGAAUGGCAGGUGGAGGUGGUGGCGGUGGUGGUGGAGGC
This 30086-nucleotide long non-coding RNA is filed under the name Ricinus communis (castor bean). RNAcentral describes it as "long non-coding RNA (RCOM_LNC002949)". The record is from RNAcentral. Lineage: Eukaryota; Viridiplantae; Streptophyta; Magnoliopsida; Malpighiales; Euphorbiaceae.